Molecule: ribosomal RNA, 414 nt
Filed under: uncultured microorganism
Description: bacterial SSU rRNA
Rfam family: Archaeal small subunit ribosomal RNA
Source: RNAcentral
CAGCCGCCGCGGUAAUACCGGCGGCCCGAGUGGCGGUCACUAUUAUUGGGCUUAAAGCGUCCGUAGCCGGGUUGGGAAGUCCUCCGGGAAAUCUGGCCGCUUAACGGUCAGAAUGCCGGAGGAUACUCCCAGCCUAGGGGGCGGGAGAGGCCGAGGGUAUUCCCGGGGUAGGGGGGAAAUCCUAUAAUCCCGGGAGGACCACCUGUGGCGAAGGCGCUCGGCUGGAACGCGUCCGACGGUGAGGGACGAAGGCCAGGGGAGCAAACCGGAUUAGAUACCCGGGUAGUCCUGGCUGUAAACGAUGCGGACUUUGUGUCGGACAAGCUAUGAGCUUGUCCGGUGCCGGAGGGAAACCGUUAAGUCCGCCGCCUGGGGAGUACGGCCGCAAGGUUGAAACUUAAAGGAAUUGGCGGG